RNAcentral lists this ribosomal RNA (414 nucleotides) under uncultured microorganism. RNAcentral describes it as "bacterial SSU rRNA". It matches the Rfam family "Archaeal small subunit ribosomal RNA", at positions 459 to 872 of the family's 1478-position model. The record is from RNAcentral.
CAGCCGCCGCGGUAAUACCGGCGGCCCGAGUGGCGGCCACUAUUAUUGGGCUUAAAGCGUCCGUAGCCGGGUUGGUUAGUCUCCCGGGAAAUCUGGCCGCUUAACGGUCAGAAUUCCGGGAGAUACUGCCAGCCUAGGGACCGGGAGAGGCCGAGGGUAUUCCCGGAGUAGGGGUGAAAUCCUAUAAUCCCGGGAGGACCACCUGUGGCGAAGGCGCUCGGCUGGAACGGGUCCGACGGUGAGGGACGAAGGCCAGGGGAGCAAACCGGAUUAGAUACCCGGGUAGUCCUGGCUGUAAACGAUGCGGACUUUGUGUCGGACAAGCUAUGAGCUUGUCCGGCGCCGGAGGGAAACCGUUAAGUCCGCCGCCUGGGGAGUACGGCCGCAAGGCUGAAACUUAAAGGAAUUGGCGGG